Molecule: ribosomal RNA, 229 nt
Filed under: uncultured bacterium
Lineage: Bacteria
Description: partial 16S ribosomal RNA
Rfam family: Bacterial small subunit ribosomal RNA
Source: RNAcentral
GACGAACGCUGGCGGCGCGCUUAACACAUGCAAGUCGAACGGACACAUCCGACGGAAUAGCUUGCUAGGAAGAUGGAUGUUGUUAGUGGCGGACGGUGAGUAACACGUGAGCAACCUACCUCAGAGUGGGGGACAACAGUUGGAAACGACUGCUAAUACCGCAUAAGAUGGCAGGUCGCAUGGCCUGGUCAUAAAAGGGCAAUUCGCUCUGAGAUGGGCUCGCGUCUGA